This 301-nucleotide ribosomal RNA is filed under the name uncultured bacterium. RNAcentral describes it as "partial 16S ribosomal RNA". It matches the Rfam family "Bacterial small subunit ribosomal RNA", at positions 509 to 807 of the family's 1533-position model. The record is from RNAcentral.
CAGCAGCCACGGUAAUACAGAGGGUGCAAGCGUUAUCCGGAUUCACUGGGUUUAAAGGGUGCGUAGGCGGAUCUGUAAGUCCGUGGUGAAAUCUCCAGGCUUAACCUGGAAACUGCCAUGGAUACUAUAGAUCUUGAAUGUCGUGGAGGUUAGCGGAAUAUGUCAUGUAGCGGUGAAAUGCAUAGAUAUGACAUAGAACACCAAUUGCGAAGGCAGCUGGCUACACAAAUAUUGACGCUGAGGCACGAAAGCGUGGGGAUCAAACAGGAUUAGAUACCCCCGUAGUCCCUGUCUCUUAUAC